Molecule: ribosomal RNA, 810 nt
Filed under: uncultured bacterium
Lineage: Bacteria
Description: bacterial SSU rRNA
Rfam family: Bacterial small subunit ribosomal RNA
Source: RNAcentral
AGAGUUUGAUCCUAGUCUCAGGAUGAACGCUAGCUACAGGCUUAACACAUGCAAGUCGAGGGGCAUCGGGAUUGAAGCUUGCUUCAAUUGCCGGCGACCGGCGCACGGGUGAGUAACGCGUAUCCAACCUUCCGUACACUCAGGGAUAGCCUUUCGAAAGAAAGAUUAAUACCUGAUGGUAUGAUGAGAUUGCAUGAUAGCAUCAUUAAAGAUUUAUCGGUGUACGAUGGGGAUGCGUUCCAUUAGGUAGUAGGCGGGGUAACGGCCCACCUAGCCAACGAUGGAUAGGGGUUCUGAGAGGAAGGUCCCCCACAUUGGAACUGAGACACGGUCCAAACUCCUACGGGAGGCAGCAGUGAGGAAUAUUGGUCAAUGGACGAGAGUCUGAACCAGCCAAGUAGCGUGAAGGAUGAAGGUCCUACGGAUUGUAAACUUCUUUUAUAAGGGAAUAAAACCUCCCACGUGUGGGAGCUUGUAUGUACCUUAUGAAUAAGCAUCGGCUAACUCCGUGCCAGCAGCCGCGGUAAUACGGAGGAUGCGAGCGUUAUCCGGAUUUAUUGGGUUUAAAGGGAGCGCAGACGGGUCGUUAAGUCAGCUGUGAAAGUUUGGGGCUCAACCUUAAAAUUGCAGUUGAUACUGGCGUCCUUGAGUGCGGUUGAGGUGUGCGGAAUUCGUGGUGUAGCGGUGAAAUGCUUAGAUAUCACGAAGAACUCCGAUUGCGAAGGCAGCACACUAAUCCGUAACUGACGUUCAUGCUCGAAAGUGUGGGUAUCAAACAGGAUUAGAUACCCUGGUAGUCCACACGGUAAA